Molecule: ribosomal RNA, 739 nt
Filed under: uncultured delta proteobacterium
Lineage: Bacteria; Deltaproteobacteria
Description: bacterial SSU rRNA
Rfam family: Bacterial small subunit ribosomal RNA
Source: RNAcentral
UACGUUUGAUUUCGAUUGGACGUAUAGUGGCGAACGGGUGAGGAAUAAAUAGGUAACGUACCCCGGGCACAGGGAUACCAUCGGGAGCUUGCUCCCUUUGCGAAAGUGAUGUUAAUACCUGACGACGUCUUUGGAUGGCAUCAUCUGAAGAUCAAAGGGUGGGGACCUUCGGGCCUGCCGGCCUGGGAGCGGCCUAUUUCCUAUCAGCUUGUUGGUGAGGUAAUGGCUCACCAAGGCAGCGACGGGUAGCCGGACUGAGAGGUUGAACGGCCACAUCGGGACUGAGACACUGCCCGGACACCUACGGGUGGCUGCAGUAACGAAUAUUCCGCAAUGGGCGAAAGCCUGACGGAGCGACGCCUCGUGGAGGACGAAUUCCUUCGGGAUGUAAACUCCUGUAAGAUUUGAGAAAGCAAGGGUGGGUAAUAUCCAUCUGCGUUGAUCUGGAUCCUAGAAGCAUCGGCUAACUCCGUGCCAGCAGCCGCGGUAAUACGGAGGAUGCGAGCGUUGUUCGGAAUCACUGGGCUUAAAGCGCGUGUAGGCGGCCUAGCCAGUACCUUGUGAAAUCCCUUGGCUCAACCGAGGAAUUGCUGGGUAUACUGCUGGGCUUGAGGCGGUUAGGGGUGCCUGGAACUCUAGGUGGAGCGGUGAAAUGCGUAGAUAUCUAGAGGAACGCCUGAGGCGAAAGCGGGGCACUGGGACCGAUCUGACGCUGAGACGCGAAAGCGUAGGGAGCGAA